UACGUAGGGUGCGAGCGUUAAUCGGAAUUACUGGGCGUAAAGCGUGCGCAGGCGGUUUUGUAAGUCUGUCGUGAAAUCCCCGGGCUUAACCUGGGAAUUGCGAUGGAGACUGCAAGGCUAGAAUCUGGCAGAGGGGGGUAGAAUUCCACGUGUAGCAGUGAAAUGCGUAGAGAUGUGGAGGAACACCGAUGGCGAAGGCAGCCCCCUGGGUCAAGAUUGACGCUCAUGCACGAAAGCGUGGGGAGCAAACG
Molecule: ribosomal RNA, 251 nt
Filed under: uncultured bacterium
Lineage: Bacteria
Description: partial 16S ribosomal RNA
Rfam family: Bacterial small subunit ribosomal RNA
Source: RNAcentral